UUGGAGGGCAAGUCUGGUGCCAGCAGCCGCGGUAAUUCCAGCUCCAAUAGCGUAUAUUAAAGUUGUUGCAGUUAAAAAGCUCGUAGUUGAAUUUCGGGGUUCUUCCGUUGGUCAGGCUAACCAGUCUGUACUAGCGUGUAGAAUCUCUACCUUCUGGGGAACCAUCAUGUUAUUAAUUUAGCGUGGUGGGAAACCAGGACCUUUACCUUGAAAAAAUUAGAGUGUUCAAAGCAGGCUUACGUCUGAAUACAUUAGCAUGGAAUAAUAAAAUAGGACGGUGGUCCUGUUUUGUUGGUUUCUGAAUCACCGUAAUGAUUAAUAGGGAUAGUUGGGGGCAUUAGUAUUCAAUUGUCAGAGGUGAAAUUCUUGGAUUUAUUGAAGACUAACUUCUGCGAAAGCAUUUGCCAAGGAUGUUUUCAUUAAUCAAGAACGAAAGUUAGGGGAUCGAAGACGAUCAGAUACCGUCGUAGUCUUAACCAUAAACUAUGCCGACUAGGGAUCGGACGAUGUUAAAUUUUAUUGACUCGUUCGGCGCCUUACAGGAAAC
This 547-nucleotide ribosomal RNA is filed under the name uncultured Glomeromycotina. RNAcentral's name for it is "SSU rRNA". It matches the Rfam family "Eukaryotic small subunit ribosomal RNA", at positions 548 to 1098 of the family's 1831-position model. The record is from RNAcentral. Lineage: Eukaryota; Fungi; Glomeromycota.